GAACCUCUCGGGGUUACAGCCUUGCUGAAUUAUUCACCCUUGUCUUUUGCGUACUUCUUGUUUCCUUGGUGGGUUCGCCCACCACUAGGACAAACAUAAACCUUUUGUAAUUGCAAUCAGCGUCAGUAACAAAUUAAUAAUUACAACUUUCAACAACGGAUCUCUUGGUUCUGGCAUCGAUGAAGAACGCAGCGAAAUGCGAUAAGUAGUGUGAAUUGCAGAAUUCAGUGAAUCAUCGAAUCUUUGAACGCACAUUGCGCCCUUUGGUAUUCCAAAGGGCAUGCCUGUUCGAGCGUCAUUUGUACCCUCAAGCUUUGCUUGGUGUUGGGCGUCUUGUCUCUAGCUUUGCUGGAGACUCGCCUUAAAGUAAUUGGCAGCCGGCCUACUGGUUUCGGAGCGCAGCACAAGUCGCACUCUCUAUCAGCAAAGGUCUAGCAUCCAUUAAGCCUUUUUUUCAACUUUUGACCUCGGAUCAGGUAGGGAUACCCGCUGA
This 493-nucleotide ribosomal RNA is filed under the name Alternaria sp. Its description in RNAcentral is "eukaryotic LSU rRNA". The stretch from base 145 to 298 matches the Rfam family "5.8S ribosomal RNA". Lineage: Eukaryota; Fungi; Ascomycota; Dothideomycetes; Pleosporales; Pleosporaceae. The record is from RNAcentral.